RNAcentral lists this ribosomal RNA (23 nucleotides) under Adenocarpus desertorum. RNAcentral's name for it is "partial 18S ribosomal RNA". Lineage: Eukaryota; Viridiplantae; Streptophyta; Magnoliopsida; Fabales; Fabaceae. The record is from RNAcentral.
AUGCUACCUGGUUGAUCCUGCCA